This 613-nucleotide ribosomal RNA is filed under the name beta proteobacterium B3_23. Its description in RNAcentral is "bacterial SSU rRNA". It matches the Rfam family "Bacterial small subunit ribosomal RNA", at positions 47 to 657 of the family's 1533-position model. Lineage: Bacteria; Pseudomonadati; Pseudomonadota; Betaproteobacteria. The record is from RNAcentral.
CCUUACACAUGCAAGUCGAACGGUAACAGCACUUCGGUGGCUGACGAGUGGCGGACGGGUGAGUAAUACAUCGGAACGUGCCCGAUCGUGGGGGAUAACUACUCGAAAGAGUGGCUAAUACCGCAUACGAUCUACGGAUGAAAGCGGGGGAUCGCAAGACCUCGCGCGGACGGAGCGGCCGAUGGCAGAUUAGGUAGUUGGUGGGAUAAAAGCUUACCAAGCCGACGAUCUGUAGCUGGUCUGAGAGGACGACCAGCCACACUGGGACUGAGACACGGCCCAGACUCCUACGGGAGGCAGCAGUGGGGAAUUUUGGACAAUGGGGGAAACCCUGAUCCAGCCAUGCCGCGUGCAGGAUGAAGGCCUUCGGGUUGUAAACUGCUUUUGUACGGAACGAAAAGACUCUUUCUAAUACAGAGGGUCCAUGACGGUACCGUAAGAAUAAGCACCGGCUAACUACGUGCCAGCAGCCGCGGUAAUACGUAGGGUGCAAGCGUUAAUCGGAAUUACUGGGCGUAAAGCGUGCGCAGGCGGUUAUAUAAGACAGAUGUGAAAUCCCCGGGCUCAACCUGGGAACUGCAUUAGUGACUGUAUAGCUGGAGUGCGGCAGAGG